AGUGAACGCUGGCGGUAGGCCUAACACAUGCAAGUCGAACGGCAGCACAGUAAGAGCUUGCUCUUACGGGUGGCGAGAGGCGGACGGGUGAGGAAUACAUCGGAAUCUACUUUUUCGUGGGGGAUAACGUAGGGAAACUUACGCUAAUACCGCAUACGACCUACGGGUGAAAGCAGGGGAUCUUCGGACCUUGCGCGAUUGAAUGAGCCGAUGUCGGAUUAGCUAGUUGGCGGGGUAAAGGCCCACCAAGGCGACGAUCCGUAGCUGGUCUGAGAGGAUGAUCAGCCACACUGGAACUGAGACACGGUCCAGACUCCUACGGGAGGCAGCAGUGGGGAAUAUUGGACAAUGGGCGCAAGCCUGAUCCAGCCAUACCGCGUGUGUGAAGAAGGCCUUCGGGUUGUAAAGCCCUUUUGUUGGGAAAGAAAAGCAGCAGGUUAAUACCCCGCUGUUCUGACGGUACCCAAAGAAUAAGCACCGGCUAACUUCGUG
This 492-nucleotide ribosomal RNA is filed under the name uncultured bacterium. RNAcentral's name for it is "partial 16S ribosomal RNA". It matches the Rfam family "Bacterial small subunit ribosomal RNA", at positions 29 to 507 of the family's 1533-position model. The record is from RNAcentral.